GGGGAUUUGGCUCAGUGGUAGAGUGCUUGCCUAGCAAGCGAAAGGCCCUGGGUUCGAUCCCCAGCUCCG
Molecule: transfer RNA, 69 nt
Filed under: Rattus norvegicus (Norway rat)
Lineage: Eukaryota; Metazoa; Chordata; Mammalia; Rodentia; Muridae
Rfam family: tRNA
About the family: Transfer RNA (tRNA) molecules are approximately 80 nucleotides in length. Their secondary structure includes four short double-helical elements and three loops (D, anti-codon, and T loops).
Source: Rfam by way of RNAcentral